RNAcentral lists this ribosomal RNA (498 nucleotides) under uncultured bacterium. RNAcentral describes it as "partial 16S ribosomal RNA". It matches the Rfam family "Bacterial small subunit ribosomal RNA", at positions 28 to 507 of the family's 1533-position model. The record is from RNAcentral.
GACGAACGCUGGCGGCGUGCCUAAUACAUGCAAGUCGAGCGGACUGAAUGGGAGCUUGCUCUUGUUCGGUCAGCGGCGGACGGGUGAGUAACACGUGGACAACCUGCCCGCAAGACCGGGAUAACUCCGGGAAACCGGAGCUAAUACCGGAUAACACCGAAGACCGCAUGGUCUUUGGUUGAAAGGCGGCGCAAGCUUCCACUUGCGGAUGGGCCCGCGCCGCAUUAGCUAGUUGGUAAGGUAACGGUUCACCAAGGCAACGAUGCGUAGCCGACCUGAGGGGGUGCUCGGCCCCAUUGGGACGGGGAAACGGCCAGGACCCCUACGGGAGGCAGCGUAGGGGAUUCUUCGGCAAUGGGCGAAGGCCUGACGGGCCACGGCGGCGUGGGUGAGGAGGGUCUUCGGUUGGAAAGCUUCUGUUUGUGGGGCGAAAGAGAUGUGUAUGUAGAUGUGCGCGUGGUGACGGUACCUAACGAGGAAGCCCCGGCUAACUACGUG